CGGACUGCAGUCUGCAACUCGACUGCACGAAGCUGGAAUCGCUAGUAAUCGCGGAUCAGCAACGCCGCGGUGAAUGCGUUCCCGGGCCUUGUACACACCGCCCGUCAAGUCAUGAAAGUGGGCAGCACCCGAAGACGGUGGCCUAACCCUUGUGGGGGAGCCGUCUAAGGUGAGGCUCGUGAUUGGGACUAAGUCGUAACAAGGUAAC
This 208-nucleotide ribosomal RNA is filed under the name uncultured bacterium. Its description in RNAcentral is "partial 16S ribosomal RNA". It matches the Rfam family "Bacterial small subunit ribosomal RNA", at positions 1294 to 1500 of the family's 1533-position model. The record is from RNAcentral.